This 247-nucleotide ribosomal RNA is filed under the name uncultured bacterium. Its description in RNAcentral is "partial 16S ribosomal RNA". It matches the Rfam family "Bacterial small subunit ribosomal RNA", at positions 86 to 334 of the family's 1533-position model. The record is from RNAcentral.
AGAUGGCGACCGGCGCACGGGUGAGUGACACGUAUCCAACCUGCCGAUAACUCGGGGAUAGCCUUUCGAAAGAAAGAUUAAUACCCGAUGGUAUAAUCAGACCGCAUGGUUUGAUUAUUAAAGAAUUUCGGUUAUCGAUGGGGAUGCGUUCCAUUAGGCAGUUGGUGAGGUAACGGCUCACCAAACCUUCGAUGGAUAGGGGUUCUGGGAGGAAGGUCCCCCACAUUGGAACUGAGACACGGUCCAA